UGUGUAAAUUAAAUUAAGGAAAAACUUCAAAUACAAUCCCUGUAGUUUAAUAUUUUUUUACUUUAGUAUUCUGUGAUUUAGAGUGUAUCACUUUCAUACUUUGUAGUUUUAUUUUUCUCGUUUUGUUAUACUUCCUACUAAUUUUUGUUUGUUAAAUCGGUGACAAAGUUAAAACUAAAAGGUACUAAAGUAAAUAUUUGAUAAGUUAUAGGUAGGUAUCUAAAGUUUUUUUUAUGUGAUUUAACGAAAAGUUAAUGGAGGGGCUGGCGAAAAGAGAAAAAAAAAACUAUAGGGGUACUAAAUUGAUACACUUUAAAUCACUGGAUAAUAAAAUGAAAAAAGUAUGAAAUUACAGGAAUUGUAUUUGAAGUUUACCCAGCUAAUAUGUUAUUAAAUUAAUAUGUUUGGUCGAAUUAUUAUGGAAAUUAUUUUAUG
Molecule: long non-coding RNA, 435 nt
Filed under: Ananas comosus (pineapple)
Lineage: Eukaryota; Viridiplantae; Streptophyta; Magnoliopsida; Poales; Bromeliaceae
Description: long non-coding RNA (ACOM_LNC036058)
Source: RNAcentral